This 514-nucleotide ribosomal RNA is filed under the name uncultured bacterium. Its description in RNAcentral is "bacterial SSU rRNA". It matches the Rfam family "Bacterial small subunit ribosomal RNA", at positions 791 to 1304 of the family's 1533-position model. The record is from RNAcentral.
UAGUCCACGCCGUAAACGAUGAUAACUAGCUGUCCGAACCCACAGGGUUUGGGUGGCGCAGCUAACGCAUUAAGUUAUCCGCCUGGGGGAGUACGGUCGCAAGAUUAAAACUCAAAGGAAUUGACGGGGGCCUGCACAAGCGGUGGAGCAUGUGGUUUAAUUCGAGGCAACGCGAAGAACCUUACUUGGGUUUGACAUAUAUUUGACCGUCCCCGAAACGGGAUUUCUCUUCGGAGCAGAUAUACAGGUGCUGCAUGGCUGUCGUCAGCUCGUGCCGUGAGGUGUUCGGUUAAGUCCGGCAACGAGCGCAACCCAUGUCACUAGUUGCCAACACGUAAUGGUGGGGACUCUAGUGAGACUGCCCGAGUCAAUCGGGAGGAAGGCGUGGACGACGUCAAGUCAGUAUGGCCCUUACACCCAGGGCUGCGCACGUGCUACAAUGGCGACUACAGAAGGCAGCGAGACCGCGAGGUUGAGCAAAUCCGUUAAAAGUCGCCCCAGUUCGGAUUGGAGU